Molecule: ribosomal RNA, 834 nt
Filed under: uncultured rumen archaeon
Lineage: Archaea
Description: bacterial SSU rRNA
Rfam family: Archaeal small subunit ribosomal RNA
Source: RNAcentral
GGGAAGCAGGCGGCCGCUUCUCACUAGUGGGGAAAGUUUGAUCCCGGCGGAGGCUACUGCUAUUGGGAUUCGAUUAUUCCCUGCAAGUCGAACGAAUUUAGAUUCGUGGCGUACGGCUCAGUAACACGUGGAUAACCUACCCUUAGGACCGGGAUAACCCUGGGAAACUGGGGCUAAUACUGGAUAGAUGAUUUUUCCUGGAAUGGGUUUUUGUUUAAAUGUUUUUUCGCCUAAGGAUGGGUCUGCGGCAGAUUAGGUAGUUGGUUAGGUAAUGGCUUACCAAGCCUAUGAUCUGUACGGGUUGUGAGAGCAAGAGCCCGGAGAUGGAACCUGAGACAAGGUUCCAGGCCCUACGGGGCGCGGCAGGCGCGAAACCUCCGCAAUGUGAGAAAUCGCGACGGGGGGAUCCCAAGUGCCAUUCUUAACGGGAUGGCUUUUCUUAAGUGUAAAAAGCUUUUGGAAUAAGAGCUGGGCAAGACCGGUGCCAGCCGCCGCGAGUACACCGGCAGCUCUAGUGGUAGCUGUUUUUAUUGGGCCUAAAGCGUUCGUAGCCGGUUUGAUAAGUCACUGGUGAAAUCCUGUAGCUUAACUGUGGGAAUUGCUGGUGAUACUGUUGAACUUGAGGUCGGGAGAGGUUAGCGUACUCCCAGGGUAAAGUGAAAUCUGUAAUCUGGAGGACACCUGUGCGAAGCGCUACUGGACGAACUGACGUGAGGAACCAGCUAGGGCGCAACCGAUUAAUACCGGUAGUCUAGCUAACCAUGCGACUGGUGUGGAUGCUUUACCCUCCGUGCAAAGAACUGUAUUCCCCCUGAAAUCGGCCAACUGAACUAA